Molecule: ribosomal RNA, 552 nt
Filed under: Fusarium oxysporum
Lineage: Eukaryota; Fungi; Ascomycota; Sordariomycetes; Hypocreales; Nectriaceae
Description: eukaryotic LSU rRNA
Rfam family: 5.8S ribosomal RNA (bases 201-354)
Source: RNAcentral
AAGUAAAAGUCGUAACAAGGUCUCCGUUGGUGAACCAGCGGAGGGAUCAUUACCGAGUUUACAACUCCCAAACCCCUGUGAACAUACCACUUGUUGCCUCGGCGGAUCAGCCCGCUCCCGGUAAAACGGGACGGCCCGCCAGAGGACCCCUAAACUCUGUUUCUAUAUGUAACUUCUGAGUAAAACCAUAAAUAAAUCAAAACUUUCAACAACGGAUCUCUUGGUUCUGGCAUCGAUGAAGAACGCAGCAAAAUGCGAUAAGUAAUGUGAAUUGCAGAAUUCAGUGAAUCAUCGAAUCUUUGAACGCACAUUGCGCCCGCCAGUAUUCUGGCGGGCAUGCCUGUUCGAGCGUCAUUUCAACCCUCAAGCACAGCUUGGUGUUGGGACUCGCGUUAAUUCGCGUUCCUCAAAUUGAUUGGCGGUCACGUCGAGCUUCCAUAGCGUAGUAGUAAAACCCUCGUUACUGGUAAUCGUCGCGGCCACGCCGUUAAACCCCCAACUUCUGAAUGUUGACCUCGGAUCAGGUAGGAAUACCCGCUGAACUUAAGCAUA